GAAGAGGCUAUAAUUCAAACAAAUCUCUGCCAUAAUAGCUAUGGGAAUACUAAACAUUACUGGCCAAGUAAAUUGCUUUCUGUAUAAGCGUUCUCUUUUUUUUUUUUGAAGUUUGCCCCAGUGUGAAAGUCUCUCUAAGAUUGGUAACUAAUGGGUAAUACACAACAUUCCAAGAUAGAUUCUGGUAUCUUGAGCCAACAUAUCAGGAGAAUGGUACAGAAAAACUGAACAUUACCAGCCCCUCUACCUUAGCUAACUGCAAAAUGAACAACUUCCAAGGACUUGCUGCUACUCUCCCACAAAAUGAAAAGUCUAUGUAUCAAGAUGUAGAAUAGUACAGCUAAGCACAAGGCUCCUCCCCAGUCAAAGAGGAGCAGAGAGUGAAGAUCACUAUCAGUAAAAGCGCUGGCCUAGAGUUCCAUCACUAAACUGAUAUGUAACCCAAGGCAGGUCUUCUUUCUUUGAGUUUCAGUCUCAUCAUCUUUGAAGUGAGAAUAACAGAGCAUAAAAGUCAAACUUGAACCAA
This 526-nucleotide long non-coding RNA is filed under the name Homo sapiens (human). RNAcentral describes it as "non-protein coding lnc-NXPE2-52:1". The record is from RNAcentral. Lineage: Eukaryota; Metazoa; Chordata; Mammalia; Primates; Hominidae.